UCUACUCACCACUUUCCUUGGACCGUGAUGCUGCACAGCGCCGCUUUGUCUAUUGCUUUAUUUUCAGACACCGUAUUUAUGUUGAAACUUCAAAAUAACAUUAAAGGCGAAUAUGAGGUUUCAUUUUAUCAAACGAGUUUAAUAACAAGUUGAAAAACAAUACUGGAGAAUCUGUCUUUUCUUAAUGUUUAUGUGUCCACGUAUUUGUUAUUCUUUUAAUCAAUUCUCACUGAACAAUCGUAUGUCCGACACUAAAGGCAUUAAUGAACGCCACACAAUCCAUGGGAGAAGAUGUGUGUGUCUGGCUUCUUCAGUCUCCUAGCCUGCCCGGUUACUCUGUAUUAAUCAAGUUUCCUUGUUGUUUUUUCCUAGGUGGGCUUGUUCUUUGCUCUGACAGUUGUUCCCCUAAUAGUGUAUCCUAGGCCUGAACUCCUCUGAGCAGGAUCGUAAUUGGAGACAGAAAUUACAAGCUUAAAAUAUUAAUUUUCUUGAGGGCAACUACAACAUUAUUUCCAUCCCUAAAUUCUGCACAGAUCUGAGCCCAGCCUGACAAACAACAUCCGCUAAUUGGUAUAACACCAUGUGGUUGUCAAAAGGGUGAAAGGAAUUGAUGAAGGAUGCCAGUUGAUUCAGGCCAAGGAAAUGUGACCAUCACUGUCUAAGGCCAUUGUGUUCUUCUGAAUCCUUUCCUAAGAAGAGGGCAGGGGACGGAGCUCAGCAAGAUGUAGCCUCAGCUGGAGUCUACCUCAGCUUGUUCUGGGGAGCCCUGGAGCAGGAAUGAUGUCUCAGGGUUGUCCCAAUUUGAGGCAAGGCUUAGUAACUCUGCUUCAGCCCUGCAUGGGCUAAUCUUCCAGGCAUCUCUGGCUCUUGGAGGCUCCAUUGACCAUGGACAACCCUCCCAGAGAAAGGGGUAGCUGUGAGCAGUUAAUGACCAACACCAGAAGCAGUUGGACUGGAUGCACCAGCUGGCAAAAAAGAACUGGAGAAGGCAGCUACUAUUCUGUGGAGGUGAGAAUGGCCAUGGUGCACUGGGACCCAGUGAGGAGAGCAGGCAUGUUUGAGGAGAUGAGGUACAGUAAGGAGUAGUGAGUAAGAUUGGUUCAAGUUCUAGAGCUGAGAGAAAUGGAGAGGGAUUAAUGAGCAAUACUAAGGACCUGUUGGAAUGGUGACCAUGAAUUUACCAUGAUAUGAUUAUGUGUGAUUUCAUGGAGAAAGCCAACACUUGGGUUCAUCUAAAGAUGUAUUUUGCCAGAGAGAGGUACAAGAGAGUUGAGGGUGUUGGCAAAAUGGGAUCGGGAGGGAAGUGAAGACAGUGAUCUAAUGGAUAGAAAGGUGAGAAAAGGAUCAAAGAUCCCAAAAUAGAAUAGUGCUCGUGGGAGUCACUGAGCAAGUAAGAUGGAAGGAAAGGAGGGUGUCUCCACCAGCCGUUUUGGAAAUGGAGCAGAUGCCAGUGAUAGAGGAGUCCCAGAUGGGACUAUGGGAGUGGAUCCCAAAGAGAGCUCAAGGAGACCUCUGCAGAGAGGACUCAGACCUACAUUGGGUCAUCUGUGUCCCCGUGGGAGUCACCUAGGAUAGUGUCAUGGCAGAGGCAGGAGAAAGGCUAGGAUCCAGGAGCCGGGGCCUGCUCUUGAUGAACAGGAGAGACCAAGAGGUCAGAGAUGGCAGAGAAUGAGAAAGGUGAUUUCAGUGGGAAGAGUCCCCAAAAAGUAGAACUUCUUUUUUCUUGUUAAUUUUAGACUAUUACCUUUUUUUUUUUUUAAGAAGA
This is a non-coding RNA of Delphinapterus leucas (beluga whale), 1765 nucleotides long. NCBI's taxonomy places the organism in Eukaryota, Metazoa, Chordata, Mammalia, Artiodactyla, Monodontidae. The record is from RefSeq and is a predicted model, not a curated record.